GAAAGAGAGCCAACCCUGGGAACUGAAACAUCUAAGUACCAGGAGGAAAAGAAAACAAUCGUGAUUCCCCGAGUAGUGGCGAGCGAAAAGGGAACAGCCUAAAUCUAAGCAGCGUGCUGCUUAGAGGUUGUAGGACUGCAUUUAGAAACCGUUAUCAAGCUGAAUCUUCUGGAAAGUUGAACCAUAGCAGGUGAUAGUCCUGUAAGCACAAAUUAACGGGGACGAGCAGUAUCCUGAGUAAGGCGGGACCGGAGAAAUCCUGCCUGAAUCUGCCGGCACCAUCCGGUAAGGCUAAAUACUCCUCAAAGACCGAUAGUGAACCAGUACCGUAAGGGAAAGGUGAAAAGCACCCCAAACAGGGGAGUGAAAUAGUACCUGAAACCGUGUGCCUACAAGCGGUCGGAGUUCGCCUCGGCGAAUGACGGCGUGCCUUUUGCAUAAUGAACCUACGAGUUACUCCUCACUGGCAAGGUUAAGUUUUAAAUAACGGAGCCGUAGCGAAAGCGAGUCCAAAUAGGGCGACUAGUCAGUGGGGGUAGACGCGAAACUUUGUGAUCUAUCCAUGGGCAGGUUGAAGUUCUGGUAACACAGAAUGGAGGACCGAACUCAUUAACGUUGAAAAGUUAUGGGAUGACCUGUGGAUAGGGGUGAAAGGCCAAUCAAACUGAGAGAUAGCUCGUUCUCCCCGAAAUGUUUUUAGGAACAGCCUCGGAUAUAGAAGUUUACUAGAGGUAGAGCUACUGAUUGGGCUAGGGGGCUUCACCGCCUACCAAACCCUGACAAACUCCGAAUGCUAGUAAAUAUCUCCGGGAGUGAGGCUGCGGGUGCUAAGAUCCGUGGCCGAGAGGGAAAUAACCCAGAAUAGCAACUAAGGUCCCUAAUACGUAGUUAAGUUGAUCAAACGAGGUGGGGCUUCUAUAACAGCCAGGAUGUUGGCUUGGAAGCAGCCAUUCAUUUAAAGAGUGCGUAACAGCUCACUGGUCGAGAGGCCCUGCACGGAAAAUGAUCGGGCAUCAAACUACGAACCGAAGUUCUAUGAUCGUAAGAUCGGUAGGGGAGCAUUCUGAUCCGCUGUGAAGGUGUGUGGCGACGCAUGCUGGAGCGUUCAGAAAAGAAAAUGUAGGUAUAAGUAACGAUAAAUAAGGUGAAAAACCUUAUCGCCGUAAGUCUAAGGGUUCCUGAUCAACGUUAAUCGGAUCAGGGUUAGUCGGGUCCUUAGGUAAACCCGAAAGGGGUAACUGAUGGAAAGCUGGUUAAUAUUCCAGCACCCACUGUAGUUUCGAUGGGGUGACGCAUUAUUGAAAGUCUCACGGGGAUCACGGAAUAUCCCGUUUAAGCAUGUAGCUAUACGUUUUACAGGUAAAUCCGUAAGAUGUGGCAAAGUGCGAAAGUACACUGCGGCUUCGGCCAAUGGGAGAGACCUAAAAGAUGCCGAGAAAAACCUCUAAGGUUAGGCUACAGCGGCCCGUACCGCAAACCGACACAGGUAGACGAGAUGAAUAUUCUAAGGCGCUCGGGUGAGCCGUGGAGAAGGAACUAGGCAAAUUGACGCUGUAACUUCGGGAUAAAGCGUACCACCUUCUGGGUGGUCUCAGUAAAAUGGUCCAACCAACUGUUUAGCAAAAACACAGGGCCCUGCAAAAUCGAAAGAUGACGUAUAGAGCCUGAUACCUGCCCGGUGCUGGAAGGUUAAGGAAGGGUGUUCGACGCAAGUCAAAGCUCCUGACUGAAGCCCCAGUAAACGGCGGCCGUAACUAUAACGGUCCUAAGGUAGCGAAAUUCCUUGUCGGGUAAGUUCCGACCUGCACGAAUGGUCUAAUGAGUUGGACUCUGUCUCCUCCACGAGCCCGGUGAAAUUGUAGUAUCGGUGAAGAUGCCGGUUACCCGCCACGGGACGGAAAGACCCCGUGAACCUUCACUACAACUUUGCAUUGAUUUUGAGUUUUAGAUGUGUAGAAUAGUUGGGAGACUAUGAAGCGGUGCCGCUAGGUGUCGUGGAGUCAUCGUUGAAAUACCAACCUUCUGACACUUAGAAUCUAAUCCCUAACGGGAAACAGUGCAUGGUGGGUAGUUUGACUGGGGUGGUCGCCUCCUAAAGAGUAACGGAGGCUCGCAAAGGUACCCUCAGUACGGUUGGUAAUCGUACGCAGAGCGCAUUAGUAUAAGGGUGCUUGACUGUGAGGCAUACACGCCGAGCAGGUGCGAAAGCAGGCUAAAGUGAUCCGGCAGUUCUGUAUGGAAGGGCUGUCGCUCAAAGGAUAAAAGGUACUCCGGGGAUAACAGGCUGAUCUCCCCCAAGAGCUCAUAUCGACGGGGAGGUUUGGCACCUCGAUGUCGGCUCGUCACAUCCUGGGGUUGGAGAAGAUCCCAAGGGUUGGGCUGUUCGCCCAUUAAAGUGGCACGCGAGCUGGGUUUAGAACGUCGUGAGACAGUUCGGUCCCUAUCCUCUAUGGUCGUAGGAAAUUUGAAGGAAUCUGCUUCUAGUACGAGAGGACCGAAGCGGACGAACCUCUAGUGUGCCUGUUGUUAUAUCAAUAGCAUCGCAGGGUAGCUACGUUCGGCAGGGAUAAGCGCUGAAAGCAUAUAAGUGCGAAACCCAUCCUAAGAUAAGAUUUCCCUGAAGACUUCCAGAAGAAUACUGGUUUGAUAGGCCACAGAUGUAAGUGCAGUAAUGUAUUUAGUCGAGUGGUACUAAGUAGUCGUUCGACUUGACUUC
RNAcentral lists this ribosomal RNA (2716 nucleotides) under marine metagenome. Its description in RNAcentral is "bacterial LSU rRNA". It matches the Rfam family "Bacterial large subunit ribosomal RNA". The record is from RNAcentral.